This 29-nucleotide non-coding RNA is filed under the name Rattus norvegicus (Norway rat). Lineage: Eukaryota; Metazoa; Chordata; Mammalia; Rodentia; Muridae. The record is from RNAcentral.
AGGGUGACAUCGAGUGAUUAGGCUGCUGG